RNAcentral lists this long non-coding RNA (3855 nucleotides) under Nicotiana tabacum (common tobacco). RNAcentral's name for it is "long non-coding RNA (NTAB_LNC002330)". Lineage: Eukaryota; Viridiplantae; Streptophyta; Magnoliopsida; Solanales; Solanaceae. The record is from RNAcentral.
UUUCAGCCACAUUCCUAAGUUACAUUGUAUACCGCCUAAACUCUACCCACUCUCCUAAAUUACAUAGAACUCCCGCGCCUUUUCAGCUUCUUCUGCCCACGAUCACAAUAUGCUAAAUCCUUUCCAUUAUUUUUCCCAACUGAAAGAUUAUCUCAAACCAGUCUCUCACAAGCUAUCGUUUGGAUGCUUCUCAAUUCCACAAUCCGUUUGGCUAAGUGGUAAGUAUUUUUUAUCAAUCUAAUUUUUCCAGUAUAUUGUAGAUAUGUUGAAAGCUUGUGCUCAUUAUGAUUGGGAUUUGAGGCCUAAUUUGAUUAUUAGUACUCAUUUUUUACUAUCUAAAGAUUUUUAGAAAUCAAUAAAUGCUAUUGUAAUCUUUUUACAUUAUCAGGAAAGAAAGUUUGUCAGAAAAAUGAUUUCAAAUCGUGAGUGGAUGUACAAAAGGUUAACGAGAGGUUUGUAUAAUCCAAAAUUCGUAAGGGAUGUUAAGCAAUUUAUUGAGUUUGCAAAGAAUCAUCGGGAAGGGAGGGAUGGUGAGAGACUAAGGUGCCCAUGUAACUGAAAAAAGUGUCAAAAUAGAAAUUUUGAAGAUGUUCUUACGGUACACAGAACAUUUAUUGCACGACGGCUUUGUACCUGGAUAUCAUAUAUGGUACUUGCAUGGAGAAAAUGAGGUUACUAGAAAUAUAGUUCAACAUGAAGAUAUGCAAAAUUGAGAUCAAACCAUGAAUACUGCAUCAGUAAAUGUGGGUGCAAUUGAUGAGCCUAGAUCACCUACUUCAUACCAUAAAAUGGUCCUUGACGCCGCUGGCCCCUCAUUCGAUUCGAAUGAUAUGGAUGAAUUACCGAAUCCUGAUGCGCAAAAAUUUUAUUAUAUGAUUGAUUCUGCAAAUCAAGAGGUGUGGCCUGGCUGUGAAACACAUUCUCAAUUGUCAGCUGUCGCACGUUUAUUGCAUAUCAAGUCUGAACACCAUCUAUAUGAUAGAUGUUUUGAUGACAUUUGUCAAUAUGUGAAUGAGAUGAUUCCUCCUGAUAACCUAAUGCCAAAAAUUUUCUAUGAAACUAAGAAGUUAAUGCAGGGAAUGAACAUGCCAGUAGAAAAAAUUCCAUUUGAUUUUACAUGCCAGUAGAGUCUGAAUGAAUGAAACAUAGUAUAUAAUUUAUUUUUAUUACUAUUUGAUUUUACAUUUUCUGAGAAAAUAGUUCCUGGAUUUCAGAUUUUAUGGUUUCUUAUUUUUUUUUAAACUUAAGUAUUUGUAUUUAAUAGCUCUUUCCUUGCUUGUUUGACCGGUUACCAUCAAUCUCAUUUUGUGAGGAGUAGUAGUUGUUGUGAGCACAUGAUUUUUGCUCUAUAUGAAUUACUCCCAUAAAUUCAAUACAAAAUAAUUUCUCUCAGUAUUUGCACUUUUGUGGAAUUUGGUGGCAUUUUCCGUUAAUUGUUUGCAUUUGGCUGUGCAUGUUUAUUUUAUUCAAUUAAUGAAAAUACAAAAAAAUACUUGGCAUUUGCAUUUAGGGUUUAAUUUUACAUUUUAGGAUUAAUUAGAAAAUUAGUUGUUUUAUAAAAUGGGAAAAAUCACAAAGAAAAUAGUUUAAUUUGCACUUUUAAUUUUAGCUUUGAUUUUGAGUGUCUUUUCUAUUAAUUUAUUUUUAAUUAAUUGUAUUAAUUAUCAUUUUAGAUUUAAUUAGUUUUUUUUUAAGUUCUAGAAAUUAAUUUUGAUUGUUGAUUAAAUUUUGAAAAAAAGAAGAAGAAAAGAAAAGAGAAAAAAUGAAAGAAAGAAAGAAGGAAAAGAAGAGCAAAAUCGGUUGGGCCUUCUUCAAUUUCUCCCAGGCCCAAUGCAAUACCCGUCCAACCUAGUCCAACUCCCCCACCCAGUCUGUCUCCAUUAAUUAACCAAACGACGUCGUUUCUUUAAAACAAAUCCCGGUUGUCGGGGGUUUCUAGAUCCAACGGUGGAUAAGCUGGGAUCCUCUGGUAUAAAAAUGUCCUAACUCACCCCCCUACCCCCUCUCAUCAUCCCCGUACACCCUCAGAGAACCCUCAUCGCCUCCGCCGUGAGCCGCCUGCCGGAAAUCGUUUCCGCCGGCGGCAUUGGUCCAAUCAAUACCAAAUUAACACCAUAGAUUCCCCUCCUUCUCCUCUUUCCAAAUCUCCACUCUCGAAUCCCAGUCCAGCCUCUCGAAUCUUGAAUCGAAAGGAAUGACCGAAAACCUAACUCAUCCGAUUGGCCCCAAAAUUACACCCCAUGAGCCCCGUGACCCCCUCUUCCUAAAUCACAGACCAGCUACCCUCGAAUCAUACCCAAGCUCCUCGAAUCUUAAAUCUAAGUCAAACCCUAAAAUCCCAAAAACCUCGAAUUCAAGAUUUCAGUAAGGAUUUAGGUCUAGUUCGACUUUAUUCAUGUGUUCUUGAUAAGAACACAUGAUUAAUGUCAAACUUGGCCGGAAAAUUUGAAAGUUCGAAGGUUUUUGCAUUUCUUAUGGUCCAGGCCAUGGUUAGGUAUUUUGUUCUUUACCUUUUGAGUUUUAAUUUUCAUGUGCAUUUCCCUUCUCAUCUUCCUCUGUUUCUUUUGUUUGUGUUUUGAUUUUUUCUGUUUUCCGUUCUUGCAAUCAUUUCUACAUGUGUUUCUUUUUAGGUUAAUUAGUAUCUUCAUGAAUGAGUGCAGUUUUAUUUGAUUUGCCCGUUUGUUUUGGCCUUUGAAACCUUAGUUCAGAGAGUUUAAUGACUCCGGUUGGCCUCCUUCUUUCCCUUCUUCAUCGAAUCUUCUGUGAAGUUCCGAGUCGAAUUUGGGCCCAAAAGAAAAGGAUUAGCCUAGAAUUUGUAUACUCAGGCCAACACGGACUUGGGUCAAUUUGACCUGUAUUUGUUUGGUUUACUGAAGUAAAAACAGGGUGCUUAAGGGGUAAAAUAGGAAUUGUAGAUAAGGGAAUCUGCAGUAACUGAAUAGGGAAGCUUCUAGGAAGCUGAGGUGAGGGUUAUUUUGAAUUCUGAAAAUUAAACUAAGGGCACCUAGGCUAAAAUGAAAAUUUCAGAAGGGCCUAAAUGUAGAAAUUAUUUCCUUAAGGCUGUCCUACUUGUCUUGGUUAUAAAGGCAUCAUUUCUUGCCUUUCAAGGCAGAGUUUUAAGAGCCAAAAUAAAGAAAAAACAAAGACAGCUGAAAAUUUGAUAAAAAAUCACUGUUCAAUUGAAUUUCUUUUGGGAUUCUUGAGUUUUUUUUUGUUUUUUUUUCUGAAGUUAUCUUUGAUUCUAUUUGAGGUGGAAAAUGGUUUGAACUUGGGUAGUGAAAGAUCUGCUUUAAGUUGGUUGAUUGGUUUCUUUCUUCUGGAUCGAUUUCAUUGCUGGUUUUGGUUGAAUCUGGGUGGAUUUCUGUUACUGCUGGCUGCUGAUUUUUCAUCCCCACUAUCCCUCUUUUAUCUUCAGGUAUCUCCUUAGCCCAGAAGUACUGACUGAAUGUUGAUCUUGUAAAUCGAGUGGGAAUCCUAUGGAAUACAAGUUGUGUUUGCCCUAGUUUUUCUCUGAUUUCUCACUGUUUAAUACCAUGUAGUAGAUCUGUGAUGGUGGUUGUCAAUUGAGGUUACUGGUAUAGUAUAAAAUUGGAUUUGUGUUUGGAAUUAAAGGUUCAGUUUCAAUGCUAAAUAGCGUGUCUGGAAGGUGUAUGAAUAAGUUUUGUAGAUGUUUUUAUGACAGGUGAAUCAUGGAUUUUAAUUAUUCAGCUUCAUGCUUGCUUUGUAUUUUGUGUCAUAGUCUUGUUAGUUUUCUGCUGGAACUCAGCGGUUUUAGUCUUGAAGUUUUGAAUUGAUAGAUGUUGGCUUGCAUAUGUAUUGAUUCAUGCAAAUACUAUUUUGGUAAGCAUGAUUACU